RNAcentral lists this long non-coding RNA (565 nucleotides) under Homo sapiens (human). RNAcentral's name for it is "HSALNT0323095". Lineage: Eukaryota; Metazoa; Chordata; Mammalia; Primates; Hominidae. The record is from RNAcentral.
GCUCUGUCACCCAGGCUAGAGUGCAGUGGCGCUAUCUUGGCUCACUGCAACCUCCGCCUCCCGGGUUCAACGAUUCUCCUGCCUCAGUCUCCUGAGUAGCUGGGAUUACAGGUGAAGAAGAUAGAUGGGCCUCAGAAAGCAAGGAAGUCUCUCUGAACUUCUCCCACCUAUUUCCCAAAGCAAACCAUCAAACCUAGGAAGGUUACACUCUGACCUACCUAUUCUGAGAGUAGGGUGUAAGACCAUCAUGUGACAAGUGUCCUGCCCCAUUCUUGGAAGAAAUGAAUACUACACAAAGAAACCAAAAGAAUGUGAACAAACAGGCCUUGUUGAGCUCAACCCCCAACUGUCAGCACCACCCCCCAGUUUGUUAAAUUAGAUCAUAUCUCCCUUUUUGUCCAAUCAUAUUUCUCUACAAUUAUCCACUUCUUUCAUCAGACAUAGCAUAAAAAUACACAGUGUCUCAGGGUGUUUGGACCUUAAUUUACGAAGAAUUCCAUGUCAUGUAAAACUCUGAUUAAAUAAAUGUUAUGCUUUUCUCUUGUUAAUUUGCCUUUUGGUACAG